This 690-nucleotide long non-coding RNA is filed under the name Salmo salar (Atlantic salmon). RNAcentral's name for it is "lncRNA (ENSSSAG00000110323.1)". Lineage: Eukaryota; Metazoa; Chordata; Actinopteri; Salmoniformes; Salmonidae. The record is from RNAcentral.
GAAUAGGGUGCCAUUAUGGAGGGAAUAGGGUGCCAUUAUGGAGGGAAUAAGGUGCCAUUAUGUAGAGAAUAGGGUGCCAUUAUGGAGGGAAUAGGGUGCCAUUAUGUAGAGAAUAAGGUGCCAUUAUGUAGAGAAUAAGGUGCCAUUAUGUAGAGAAUAGGGUGCCAUUAUGUAGAGAAUAGGGUGCCAUUAUGGAGGGAAUAGGGUGCCAUUAUGUUGGGAAUAGGGUGUCGUUAUGUAGAGAAUAAGGUGCCAUUAUGGAGGGAAUAGGGUGCCAUUAUGGAGGGAAUAGGGUGCCAUUAUGGAGGGAUUAAGGUGCCAUUAUGUAGAGAAUAGGGUGCCAUUAUGGAGGGAAUAGGGUGCCAUUAUGUAGAGAAUAAGGUGCCAUUAUGUAGAGAAUAAGGUGCCAUUAUGUAGAGAAUAGGGUGCCAUUAUGUAGAGAAUAAGGUGCCAUUAUGUAGAGAAUAAGGUGCCAUUAUGUAGAGAAUAGGGUGCCAUUAUGGAGGGAAUAGGGUGCCAUUAUGUAGAGAAUAGGGUGCCAUUAUGUUGGGAAUAGGGUGUCGUUAUGUAGAGAAUAAGGUGCCAUUAUGUAGAGAAUAGGGUGCCAUUAUGUAGAGAAUAGGGUGCCAUUAUGUAGAGAAUAAGGUGCCAUUAUGUAGAGAAUAGGGUGCCAUUAUGUAGAGAAUAGGG